CCUACGGGUGGCAGCAGUAGGGAAUAUUGCUCAAUGGGGGAAACCCUGACGCAGCAACGCCGCGUGGAUGAUGACGGUUUUCGGAUUGUAAACUCCUUUUGUUAGGGAAGAUAAUGACGGUAUCUCACGAAUAAGCACCGGCUCACGCCGUGCCAGCCGCCGCGGUAAUACGGAGGGUGCAAGCGUUACUCGGAAUCACUGGGCGUAAAGAGCGCGUAGGCGGGAUAGCAAGUCAGUUGUGAAAUCCUAUGGCUUAACCUUAGAACUGUAUUGGAAACUGUUAUUCUAGCGUAUGGGGGAGGUAGGAGGAAGGCUUGGUGUAGGGGUAAAAUCCGUAGAGAUCAAGAGGAAUACUCAUGGCGAAGGCGACCUACUAGAACAUAACUGACGCUGAGGCGCGAAAGCGUGGGGAGCAAACAGGAUUAGAUACCCGGGUAGUC
RNAcentral lists this ribosomal RNA (440 nucleotides) under uncultured bacterium. RNAcentral's name for it is "partial 16S ribosomal RNA". It matches the Rfam family "Bacterial small subunit ribosomal RNA", at positions 338 to 795 of the family's 1533-position model. The record is from RNAcentral.